RNA transcript from Manis pentadactyla (Chinese pangolin), 4161 nucleotides. It is a transcript of the gene named actin binding LIM protein family member 2, with no coding region annotated. Lineage: Eukaryota; Metazoa; Chordata; Mammalia; Pholidota; Manidae. The record is from RefSeq and is a predicted model, not a curated record. The transcript is spliced from 23 exons.
UUCCCCUAUGCCUGGGAAACAGGUGCAUCUCUGGAGCGUGGUGGGAGUCUAUUUCAGUGUGCUGGGAAGGGGGUGGCCCCGGCGCCCUCGGGCAUGAGGGUGGUGGCUGCCACGUGACCCUCUGACAUGCUGUCCGGAUCCGCGCCGGCCACAGAGACUCUCCCACUCGUCCAGCUGCUGUCCGAAGCCCCGCGGUGCCCGCGCUUCACGAGGAGGCCGCGCUCCAUGGGGGUACCCGGAGGGGAGACAGUGUCGGAGCCCCAGGCUGGUCACAGCCCCCUGGAGAAGCCGCCCAGCACGGCGAUCCUGUGUGACACCUGUGGGAACGUGUGCAAGGGGGAGGUGCUGAGGGUCCAGAACAAGUAUUUCCACAUCAAGUGCUUCAUCUGCAAAGCGUGUGGCUGUGACCUGGCCGAGGGCGGCUUCUUCGUGCGGCAGGGCGAGUACAUCUGCACGUUGGAUUACCAGCGGCUGUACGGGACUCGCUGCUUCAGCUGCGACCAGUUCAUUGAGGGUGAGGUGGUAUCGGCCCUGGGCAAGACCUACCACCCCAACUGCUUCGUGUGUGCCUCCUGCCGGGUGCCCUUUCCGCCUGGGGACCGAGUGACCUUCAACGGGAAGGAAUGCAUGUGCCAGAAGUGCUCCCUGCCCAAGUCUGUGGGUGGCAGCGCUUGCCUGACCCAGGGCCUCUGGAGUUGUGGGGGCUGCGGCACAGAAAUCAAACAUGGCCAGUCCCUGCUGGCUUUGGACAAACACUGGCAUUUGGGCUGUUUUAAGUGCAAGGCGUGCGGGAAGCAGCUGACGGCGGAGUACAUCAGCAGGAACGGGCUGCCCUACUGCGAGACCGACUACCACACCCAGUUUGGCGUCCGCUGUGACGGCUGUGAGAAGUACAUCACGGGGCAUGUGCUGGAGGCGGGCGAGAAGCACUACCACCCUCUGUGUGCGCUGUGUGUGCGAUGCGGCCGCAUGUUUGCGGAAGGCGAGGAAAUGUAUCUUCAAGGUUCCUCCAUCUGGCACCCGGCAUGUCGACAAGCAGCCAGAACUGAAGACAAAAACCAGGAGACCAGGACCUCCUCUGAAAGCAUCAUUUCUGUCCCUGCUUCAAGCACCUCAGGGUCUCCGAGCCGCGUGAUUUAUGCGAAGCUGGGCAAUGAGGUCCUUGACUACAGGGACUUGGCUGCCCUUCCUAAAAGCAAGGCCAUCUAUAACAUCGACCGCCCCGACAUGAUCUCCUACUCGCCCUACGUCAGCCACUCGGCGGCAGACAGGCAGAGCUGCAGCGAGUCCCCUCGGUUGUUCUCGCCAACGCUGACUGAGGGGGACCAGGAUGACCGCUCCUACAAGCAGUGCCGGACCUCCAGCCCCAGCUCCACUGGGUCGGUCAGCCUCGGGCGGUACACCCCGACCUCACGGUCGCCCCAGCACUACAGCCGUCCAGCUGGUACUGUGAGUGUCGGUGCCAGUAGCUGCCUGUCCCUGUCCCAACACCCAAGCCCUACAUCCGUGUUCAGACAUCAUUACAUCCCCUACUUCCGAGGCAGUGAAAGUGGCCGGAGCACCCCCAGCCUCUCGGUGCUCUCGGACAGCAAGCCGCCCCCCUCCACCUACCAGCAGGCUCCUCGCCACUUCCACGUCCCAGACACUGGCGUAAAAGAUAACAUCUAUAGGAAACCCCCCAUCUACAAACAGCACGGUCCUGUAGCCCAAUCCCCAAUUUCCAAGCUCUCGGGCCUGAUGUCAGCCUUGUCCCUGGUGGUGCACAAGGCAGGGUGCUCCGGAAGGCUAGAAGGUCCGAGCCCCCCACAGGCUGCAGCCGCCAGGCGAUCAGACGGGGAGGAUGGAAGUUUCGACCCAGAUAACAGGAAGCAGAAGACCAGCUGGCUGAUUCUGAAGGGGGACACAGACACUAGGACUAACUCUCCAGACCUGGACAGCCAGUCUUUGUCCCACAGUAGCGGCACCGAUAGAGACCCUCUCCAAUCAAUGCAAGGGGACAACUUUUACUCACGAUUCCCCUAUUCCAAAUCUGACCCUCUCCCAGGACAUGGAAAGAAUGACUUGGACCACCGGAAUGCCAAUCUGGCCCCUUGUGGAGCAGACCUGGAUGCCAGCUGGGGCACGCGAGAAUACAAGGUAAGACGGCCACCCACUCCCGCGCUGACCUCUGCGCCGUAUGUACCUGCUCAGGUUGAAAGUUCCUUCUGUUGUGCUUCCCUAUGAAUGUGUGUGUCAGCUGCUAGCGCAAAUCUAUCCUUAUGAUGCCCUCAUUGUCACAAACCGAAUUCGUGUGAAACUGCCCAAAGAUGUGGACCGGACGAGGCUGGAGAGACACCUGUCGCCUGUGGAGUUCCAGGAAGUGUUUGGGAUGAGCGUGGAAGAGUUUGACCGCCUUGCGCUCUGGAAGAGGAAUGACCUCAAGAAGAAAGCUCUGUUGUUUUGAUGGCUGCCGUGUGCCUGACCCCACGUGCAACCACAGCAAACUGCGGACACCUGGUGGGAACCAUGCCCGCCCCUCCUGUUGUACCUGGCUCUGGCUCCUCUGCAUCCAUGGGGUGGGCAGUGGGCGCCUGGGGAGGGCUGGGCCGGGGUGGGAGGUGGUCCCGCAGCAGGUGCAGUCUCUGCCAGCAGCACUCCUGCCGUAGUUGGGGCCCAGACGGCCUUGUGCUGCACUGCUCCUUUCCUGCUGUGGCUUGGCGUCAGUGAGAUGCUGCAGAGUAGCUGUCCCAGGAGACUGAGGAACAUUUACGUGCCCCCAGCCCAUCUUCCCGGCUCUGUUCAGUGCCCUGGCCCCCGCACUAGGUCCUUGGGGCACAGAGGUGACCAGGACUUAAGAUUUGAGGUGGCUUGUCAAUGACAAAUGCUGACACAAUCAUGGGUGGAUGGGCACAUGGGUCCCAGUGUCCCUUCCCCACCCACCCACUGGCCCCGGGUGGCAUAGCAUUGCACACAGCACGUGCCUGCACGCCAGGGCAGGGAGGGUGCUGCGGAGCCGUCAGGGCUGCACCAAGUGUGGGGGGCACGACUUUUGCAGCCAUCGGUGAUGAGUCUGUUCUUAGGGACGAAUGUCCACCUGACAGGGCACCUUCCUCAGGGCCCUCCAUGCACUGCAUUUUCUUCCAAAUCAUGCCCUUAGAUGCCUAGAUGAUAUCUUUAAAAUAACACAGAAGUUUUUAUUUUAUUAAAAAGUAUAGCCUACUUAAACAUAAGAUGACAUAUAUAAAGAGCUUAGUUUUACAGUCUCGCUGAAGGGAGCGCCUCCAGCCUUACUGUCCACUGUCCGCAUCUGUGCGGUUUUGGGUUCCUGGUGUGUUCCUAAUACAGAGGAUUCCUCGUUUGUUUUUGCUCUUUUUCUUUUUUACCUGUCACACAGGUAUGUUUAAAAGCAGACCCCCUACCUAACGCUGUUUGCAAGUAUGCGUGAAGUAUAGCCACUACCAUCUUCCUCACUGUUACUUUCCAAGUCUCGGAGAGAAAACACCGUCCUCUGAUGGUUGGGGCCCCGGAAUAAAGGAUCCCCACGCACCCAGCCUGAUGCCUGACGUAGCUUUGGUGUGCUCUUUGUGACGUAGCUGGGGGCACCCGCCUUUCCCUCACCAAAACACAGAUGUGCCCAGGAGCCAUGUCCAUGCAUGGUCCUGAGACGGACACCCAGACACUCGCAGAGAGAAGAAGAGGAGGCACCACCCUCUUCUGAUCUGCGAAGCUAGCAGAGUGUCCCACCGCAGAAGGCCGGCUGGUCCCUGCUGAGGGGCAGCUGUGUCUAUUAUCAGGCGUGGAUUAAAGUUUGAUGUGGGUCACAGAAUGUUUGUAAAAUGCGCUGAGGCAGAUGAAACACUGCAAAGGUGUCACUGCUGUUUGUUUCCCAGCCUUCCCUGGGGCUGCAUCCCUUUGUCUGUCCUGGGUGUUCCCGCCUGUGAGUCGAUGUUACUCAGUUUCCUUCCAGCCCCAUAACAUGCCAAGUCCCAGUGCACACCCAGCUUCUCAGCAGCCCAGCUUGGCCAGGAAAGGGGAAUUUUUAGCACCUAAUAUGCUUCCUUCCAUUUAGCAAUCUGAGCCUGAGCAACUGGAAACCCCCAUUUUCUCAUUAGCGCAAUGUCGUGUCAGAUCCCAGGGAAGCCUGGAAAAAUAAAGGAUGAUGUAUUAUCACUUGUGAAAGUA